Molecule: long non-coding RNA, 1826 nt
Organism: Papaver somniferum (opium poppy)
Lineage: Eukaryota; Viridiplantae; Streptophyta; Magnoliopsida; Ranunculales; Papaveraceae
Exons: 3
Source: RefSeq, a predicted model, not a curated record
AUUUAAGAAAGAGAAAAACGCUUAUCGGCAGCAGUUACAAAAUAAAAUAAAAAGACAUAAAGCGAAAAAUGAAUCUGAAUUAUAAGAUUUUAAUUGAUCAACCGAUGAUCUUAGUUUAAAACUUUUGCGCAUGAUUGAUUCUAAGUUAGGAAAUGAAUUUCGCUCAUCAAUGUUUUUAGGAUUUUCUCUUUUCAACAAAAUAAAUCUCGCAAAUUCGAGGUUGAAACUAAGGUAACUCAUUAUCUCAGAAAUUUCCAGUUUUGAUUCAUUGUUCGGCCUCGCUGGAUUCAUGGCGCAUGUCACGCACAUAUUUCAGUCAUUUGUGCAGGUUUAUUUGUUUAAGAUUUUCCCUUUCAUACUCAAUUUCGCUAUCUAGGGUGUUUGUGUUGAUGCUCUAAUAGGUUAUUAAGAACUUUAUGUUUUUCAACUCUAAUAUGUUUUUUAAGUUGAUUUUGAAGGUAUUUUAGGGUUAAGAAAAUUUCCCACUGUUUUGUGUUGAUUCCGAUUUUGAUAAACUCAGGCUCUCAUAACAUACAUUGAAACUCUCCAAAUUUAAGGUAAUACACAAUCCCGUAAUUACCACAUAUUUACUUUUCUUUAUGUACUUAUAAUCUUAAUUGUUAUUAUGAAUGGAGAUGUGAUCUUCAUAGACAUGAGAUUUGAAGGCUUCUUUAUAAUCAGUCGAAUAUGUCUAAAGAGGUUUUUGAUUUCCAUGUCUUCAUAUUUUGUUCCCAAUAAAACCAAUUCAUUUUUUAUUUCAAUAAUAUAUAAAGGGAAUCUAGGUUAGUCGCAUAGCUUUUUAACAAUUAUAUUCUUUGUGUGUGAAUAGACAAUUUACAUAUCAGUAUUGAAGAAUCCAUGGAUAAAACAUAUAACUCCUAUAGGACUACAUAAUCAUGUACCAAAAUAACUACAUUUGAAGGUUAGCAAGUGGUGGUGCAUGAACUUGGAGUAUCGUCAAUGGAUGAAUAUUUUAUUAAACUUUCGCUUAGAAGAUUUGCGAACAUCCAUUAAAAUCUACCAGGAUUUCUAAGGUAUUCGGCUUUUAACCGUUUGUUAUGUCUUACUUUCAAACAUCCCUAUGGAAACAAACUUUUGUUGUGCAAUUAAUGUAAUAGUUUGGUUCGAAUUGUUUUGUUUGUGAUACGUACUUCGGUUAUUUUCAGAAUUAUUAAUUUCAUAAAGAACAUCAUAGCGGCGUUUAGUAUAUAACCUUUCAUACUCUACCAUAAUUAUAGCAAGAAUGUUAUUUAGCUACUUUCGCAUUUGUAGCUUUUGGGUCUAUUUUCAUUCUUUGUUGUCAGUGAUGCAGUAAUUUCUAAUGGCUUCUCAACUUCGAAGAAUAAGGUCCCCAGUUGUUGGUGUGGGUAAUUUGAAUUUUGCAUUUUUGUCUUUCUUUUUGUCCUAAGUGGUUUUGCAUACUUAUUUCAAGUGAUGGCCUUUUGAGUUUCAUUUUUGCGAUGGAUAAGAUGACAUUUGCGUUUGUUGAUUUAAGUUUUUGUGAGGAACUUACUUUUUCCAGUGUUGUUCCGGAUAACACGAGGGACUAUCGAUGUUAACAUUCAAUUAUGUCCAACGUAGAUGAGUGAAUUUUCUUGGAAAUCAAUAGAAAAUAUAAUUGCAGCCACCGGUUUGAUUUCUGCUUCUUCACCAUUUUCCCCCUACAUAUUUUCCACAUGUCGUUUCUUUUCAAGUGGCCAAAAAGUCUAGAAAAUCAUAACCACUUCAAAUAACACUUCCUAGCACACAAAGCAAAGUUUCCCUUGACAUUUUGUGUUUUAAGAACAGUUACACCAUCACCGAACUUAAAAGAUAAAUGGGAUUCA